CCUACGGGAGGCAGCAGUGGGGAAUAUUGGACAAUGGGGGCAACCCUGAUCCAGCCAUGCCGCGUGUGUGAAGAAGGCCCUCGGGUUGUAAAGCACUUUCAGCGAGGAAGAACGCCUAGCGGUUAAUACCCGCUAGGAAAGACAUCACUCGCAGAAGAAGCACCGGCUAACUCCGUGCCAGCAGCCGCGGUAAUACGGAGGGUGCAAGCGUUAAUCGGAAUUACUGGGCGUAAAGCGCGCGUAGGUGGCUUGAUAAGCCGGUUGUGAAAGCCCCGGGCUCAACCUGGGAACGGCAUCCGGAACUGUCAAGCUAGAGUGCAGGAGAGGAAGGUAGAAUUCCCGGUGUAGCGGUGAAAUGCGUAGAGAUCGGGAGGAAUACCAGUGGCGAAGGCGGCCUUCUGGACUGACACUGACACUGAGGUGCGAAAGCGUGGGUAGCAAGCAGGAUUAGAUACCCUGGUAGUCCACGCCGUAAACGAUGUCGACCAGCCGUUGGGUGCCUAGCGCACUUUGUGGCGAAGUUAACGCGAUAAGUCGACCGCCUGGGGAGUACGGCCGCAAGGUUAAAACUCAAAUGAAUUGACGGA
This 587-nucleotide ribosomal RNA is filed under the name uncultured bacterium. Its description in RNAcentral is "bacterial SSU rRNA". It matches the Rfam family "Bacterial small subunit ribosomal RNA", at positions 338 to 917 of the family's 1533-position model. The record is from RNAcentral.